RNAcentral lists this ribosomal RNA (449 nucleotides) under uncultured bacterium. RNAcentral's name for it is "bacterial SSU rRNA". It matches the Rfam family "Bacterial small subunit ribosomal RNA", at positions 29 to 524 of the family's 1533-position model. The record is from RNAcentral.
AGCGAACGCUGGCGGCAGGCCUAAUACAUGCAAGUCGAGCGGGUCCUUCGGGAUUAGCGGCGGACGGGUGAGUAACGCGUGGGAACGAGCCCUUUGGUACGGAACAACUGAGGGAAACUUCAGCUAAUACCGUAUGUGCCCUUCGGGGAAAGAUUUAUCGCCAUUGGAGCGGCCCGCGUUGGAUUAGGUAGUUGGUGAGGUAAAGGCUCACCAAGCCUACGAUCCAUAGCUGGUCUGAGAGGAUGACCAGCCACACUGGGACUGAGACACGGCCCAGACUCCUACGGAGGCAGCAGUAGGGAAGUCUUACGCAAUGGGCGAAAGCCUGACGCAGCCAUGCCGCGUGAAUGAUGAAGGUCUUAGGAUUGUAAAAUUCUUUCACCGGGGACGAUAAUGACGGUACCCGGAGAAGAAGCCCCGGCUAACUUCGUGCCAGCAGCCGCGGUAAU